Molecule: transfer RNA, 72 nt
Filed under: Dipodomys ordii (Ord's kangaroo rat)
Lineage: Eukaryota; Metazoa; Chordata; Mammalia; Rodentia; Heteromyidae
Rfam family: tRNA
About the family: Transfer RNA (tRNA) molecules are approximately 80 nucleotides in length.
Source: Rfam by way of RNAcentral
GCGAGGGUGGCUCAAUGGUAGAGUGCUUGCCUUGCAUGCAUGAGGCCCUGGGUUUGAUUCCUCAGCAUCACA